Molecule: transfer RNA, 72 nt
Filed under: Ictidomys tridecemlineatus (thirteen-lined ground squirrel)
Lineage: Eukaryota; Metazoa; Chordata; Mammalia; Rodentia; Sciuridae
Also listed under: 1 other name
Description: Spermophilus tridecemlineatus (thirteen-lined ground squirrel) tRNA
Rfam family: tRNA
About the family: Transfer RNA (tRNA) molecules are approximately 80 nucleotides in length. Their secondary structure includes four short double-helical elements and three loops (D, anti-codon, and T loops).
Source: Rfam by way of RNAcentral
GGUGUUGGGGCUCAGUGGUAGAGCACUUGACUGACAUGUGUGAGGCCCUGGGUUCAAUCCUCAGCACCACAU